RNAcentral lists this ribosomal RNA (190 nucleotides) under Meloidogyne enterolobii. RNAcentral's name for it is "partial 18S small subunit ribosomal RNA". It matches the Rfam family "Eukaryotic small subunit ribosomal RNA", at positions 1641 to 1831 of the family's 1831-position model. Lineage: Eukaryota; Metazoa; Nematoda; Chromadorea; Rhabditida; Meloidogynidae. The record is from RNAcentral.
UUGAUUACGUCCCUGCCCUUUGUACACACCGCCCGUCGCUGCCCGGGACUGAGCCAUUUCGAGAAAUUUGGGGACCGUUGAUUUAAUUUAUCUAAAUUAUUUUGAUGGAAACCAAUUUAAUCGCAGUGGCUUGAACCGGGCAAAAGUCGUAACAAGGUAGCUGUAGGUGAACCUGCUGCUGGAUCAUUAC